Molecule: long non-coding RNA, 1630 nt
Filed under: Callithrix jacchus (white-tufted-ear marmoset)
Lineage: Eukaryota; Metazoa; Chordata; Mammalia; Primates; Cebidae
Description: lncRNA (ENSCJAG00000087140.1)
Source: RNAcentral
AACAGAUUUGAACAGAUACUUCACAAAACAAGAUUUAUGGGUGGCAAAUGAGCACAUAAAAAGAUAUGGGAAAACUGGCUGGGAUGUUCCAAUAUUCCCCUCUCAUAUUUCCAGCCAUUUCCCCACCUUAGCUGCGACUUUGACAGUGACAAGUGCUCACAGGACUCCUGAGGCUGAGGUGCAUUCACGACGCUCUGAUUGUCAGGCUGGGCCAGCUGGGGAGGCAGCCCUGCCACACAGUUGCCAAGCCCCUUUACCCCCAGAGCCUGUGUCCUUAUGACAAUGUGCUCAUCUCUUGGACCAGAUGAUGUGAGGUUAGGCUCUUCCAAGGUGAUCCUAGGUUGGCUGUGGACACAGUGAGGAUUUGCUUGCUUUGGUUUCUUUGUAGUGAUUUCUACCUCCUCAUGGUUGUUCAUGUCUCAGGAAAACCUGGAAAACUUAAAAUGAAUGGAGAGAAUGGGUCUCUGGUCAAGAGUAGAGAAUCACGAUGAUUCUCACGUUGCUGUCAUCUAGAAAAUUCAGAUGUCACUCAUUUCUAACCCGCUUCUGCCCUGGACUUGAAUCAAGGGAGGAAAACAUAACAUUCUGUCACAGAGAAAGCAUAUCCUUCUCAGCAAGUGAUUCAGUGAAACUUCCAUGAGUGAAAGAGGCACUUUGUCACAGGAGCAGAAGUGGCCUUGCCACAGUGGAAAGGAGAAGAUGCGUAACUCCUCAUGUUAAAACAGAGGCUUUCUUUAAAUGGUAAGGAAAGAAGAGGAUGUAGAGAAAUUGGAACCCUUCUGAACUGUUAAGAACAUAGAACGGUGCAGCCACUAUGGAAAAGAGUAUGGCAGUCUCUCAAAAAAUAAAAAAUAGAACUACCAUAUGAUCCAACAAUCCCACUUCUGGGUAUAUAUCCAAAAGAACUUUUAAAAAGGGUCUGGAAGAAAUAUAUACACACCACCAUGUUUAUUGCGGCGUGAUUCAUAAUAGCCAAGAGGCUGAAACAGUACCAUGUCUAUUGACAGAUGAACAGAUAAACAAAAUGUAAUGUAUCCAUGCAAUGGGAUAUUAUUCAGCCUUAAAAAGGAAUAAAGUUUGGAUACAUGCUACAACAUGGAUAAAUCUUGAGGACUUACGAUAUGUGAAAUAGGCCAGUCACAAAAAGGCAAAUACUGUAUGAUUCCAUUUAUAAGAGUGUAUAAAUUAGUUGAAUUCAUAGAGACAGGAAGUAGAAUGGUGGUUGCUGGGGACUUGUUUUGUAAUGGGUAGAGAGUUUAUAUGCAAGAUUAAGAAGUUUUGGAGAUCUAAUUUUACAACAAUGCAAAUGUGCUUAACGCUAUGGAAACACAUACUUUAAAAUUAUUAAGAUGGUAAAUUUUAUAUUAUAUGUUUUGUGGAGUUUUCAUUUCUGGAAGUGGAGGAAAUAAGAACAAUUGUUCACUUGCAUUUUGUUCUUACUGUAUUGACAAUCAAUAGUCACUCACUCCAUGAGUAACUUCAAAGAAACAGGUAUCUCUGAGCUUACAGCUCCAAGCACAAGAACAGUAAAGAAUCCUCGAAGAAGAUAAAACAGUUCUAUGGUCUCUGAACAAAGCUUCCAAUGUCUAGGGCAUUGCGGGUGCCCAAUUUUAUAUACAACAGGCUUGUC